AAGUCGUAACAAGGUUUCCGUAGGUGAACCUGCGGAAGGAUCAUUAACGAAAAGCAUGUUUGUCUAUGAACGGGGGGCGGUAGCUCACCCGGGAGAGGCAUCCAUCCCAACUUCUCACACCACACCCCCUUUGUGCACGAUCGUGAGCCAUCGCUUGGCCGAUCGCACGUGAAAUCCAUGCGACUGGCCCUGUCAUUGGUCUCGCCUUUCUUUUUAACACGCACCAUAAAGUACAUAUUAGAACGACACUUUCUCGUGUUGAUUUACUUCACACGAAACAAAUACAACUUUCAGCAACGGAUCUCUUGGCUCCA
Molecule: unclassified non-coding RNA, 314 nt
Filed under: fungal sp.
Lineage: Eukaryota; Fungi
Description: partial internal transcribed spacer region
Rfam family: Eukaryotic small subunit ribosomal RNA (bases 1-46)
Source: RNAcentral